This 270-nucleotide long non-coding RNA is filed under the name Equus caballus (horse). RNAcentral's name for it is "lncRNA (ENSECAG00000048995.1)". Lineage: Eukaryota; Metazoa; Chordata; Mammalia; Perissodactyla; Equidae. The record is from RNAcentral.
AAUAAAGGAUACUGUCCCUGCCCUUCUAUAUCUAAUUCAUGAUAUUAACAGAACUGUCAAUAUUCUGGAUGCAACAGAAACCUGACUUGCCAGCUGGAUCAUUGGCAAAGGAGUCAGAAUAAGUGGGUAAUGCAACUACACACACGGAGACAAUUUUGAUGAAGCCUCCAUGGAAUACUUUGCUGAGUCUGGGGCAUGUGGAUUAACAAGAAAACUCUAGAUUAAAGAACUGCCAGAAGAUCAUUCCCCAGGACACUGGACUAUAUCAGA